CCCGGCCUCCCAAAGUGCUGGGAUUACAGGCAUGAGCCACCGCGCCCAGCCCAGUCUCUGAUUUUAACAAGAUUUCAUCUUGGGACUAAUGGUACAAAUUUCACCCAUCCCUAACUAACUCUCAUUGAAAUGUAGAGAAACAGAUGAUCAAGACUCUGCUAGCAGGAGAAAAAGAGAGAAAAGAGAGAUGAAAAAGUCUUGUGUGACCAGAAGCUUAUCAACCUUGUGUGCUGUUGGCUUACUUUAACAUUUACAGCAGAUGAUAGAAUUGUGUUCAGAUGACACAAUAAGGUAUCAAAUGACUUCACGAAAGCAAGACGGCACUGAACCCCAAGGUAAGAGAUUGUACGGACAUCAUUUAAAGGUUUGUGUCCCCCCUUAAAGGUUUGUGUCCCCCUUUGGUAGUCCAGACAUGAAAACGUCUAAUCUGGGUGU
Molecule: long non-coding RNA, 435 nt
Filed under: Homo sapiens (human)
Lineage: Eukaryota; Metazoa; Chordata; Mammalia; Primates; Hominidae
Description: non-protein coding lnc-NOM1-6:2
Source: RNAcentral